This 429-nucleotide ribosomal RNA is filed under the name Verrucomicrobiota bacterium. Its description in RNAcentral is "Verrucomicrobia bacterium partial 16S ribosomal RNA". It matches the Rfam family "Bacterial small subunit ribosomal RNA", at positions 355 to 776 of the family's 1533-position model. The record is from RNAcentral. Lineage: Bacteria; Pseudomonadati; Verrucomicrobiota.
UAGGGAAUCUUCCGCAAUGGACGAAAGUCUGACGGAGCAACGCCGCGUGAGUGAAGAAGGCUUUCGGUUUGUAAAACUCUGUUGUUAGGGAAGAAAAAAUGUAUAGUAACUAUAUACAAAAGAGACGGUACCUAACCAGAAAGCCACGGCUAACUACGUGCCAGCAGCCGCGGUAAUACGUAGGUGGCAAGCGUUGUCCGGAAUUAUUGGGCGUAAAGCGCGCGCAGGUGGUUUAGAAAGUCUGAUGUGAAAGCCCACGGCUCAACCGUGGAGGGGCAUUGGAAACUGAUAAACUUGAGUGCAGGAGAGGAAAGUGGAAUUCCUAGUGUAGCGGUGAAAUGCGUAGAGAUUAGGAGGAACACCGGUGGCGAAGGCGGCUUUUUGGCCUGCAACUGACACUGAGGCGCGAAAGCGUGGGGAGCAAACAGG